This 2925-nucleotide ribosomal RNA is filed under the name Escherichia coli. RNAcentral's name for it is "bacterial LSU rRNA". It matches the Rfam family "Bacterial large subunit ribosomal RNA". The record is from RNAcentral. Lineage: Bacteria; Pseudomonadati; Pseudomonadota; Gammaproteobacteria; Enterobacterales; Enterobacteriaceae.
GGGUUGUGAGGUUAAGCGACUAAGCGUACACGGUGGAUGCCCUGGCAGUCAGAGGCGAUGAAGGACGUGCUAAUCUGCGAUAAGCGUCGGUAAGGUGAUAUGAACCGUUAUAACCGGCGAUUUCCGAAUGGGGAAACCCAGUGUGAUUCGUCACACUAUCAUUAACUGAAUCCAUAGGUUAAUGAGGCGAACCGGGGGAACUGAAACAUCUAAGUACCCCGAGGAAAAGAAAUCAACCGAGAUUCCCCCAGUAGCGGCGAGCGAACGGGGAGGAGCCCAGAGCCUGAAUCAGUGUGUGUGUUAGUGGAAGCGUCUGGAAAGGCGCGCGAUACAGGGUGACAGCCCCGUACACAAAAAUGCACAUGCUGUGAGCUCGAUGAGUAGGGCGGGACACGUGGUAUCCUGUCUGAAUAUGGGGGGACCAUCCUCCAAGGCUAAAUACUCCUGACUGACCGAUAGUGAACCAGUACCGUGAGGGAAAGGCGAAAAGAACCCCGGCGAGGGGAGUGAAAAAGAACCUGAAACCGUGUACGUACAAGCAGUGGGAGCACGCUUAGGCGUGUGACUGCGUACCUUUUGUAUAAUGGGUCAGCGACUUAUAUUCUGUAGCAAGGUUAACCGAAUAGGGGAGCCGAAGGGAAACCGAGUCUUAACUGGGCGUUAAGUUGCAGGGUAUAGACCCGAAACCCGGUGAUCUAGCCAUGGGCAGGUUGAAGGUUGGGUAACACUAACUGGAGGACCGAACCGACUAAUGUUGAAAAAUUAGCGGAUGACUUGUGGCUGGGGGUGAAAGGCCAAUCAAACCGGGAGAUAGCUGGUUCUCCCCGAAAGCUAUUUAGGUAGCGCCUCGUGAAUUCAUCUCCGGGGGUAGAGCACUGUUUCGGCAAGGGGGUCAUCCCGACUUACCAACCCGAUGCAAACUGCGAAUACCGGAGAAUGUUAUCACGGGAGACACACGGCGGGUGCUAACGUCCGUCGUGAAGAGGGAAACAACCCAGACCGCCAGCUAAGGUCCCAAAGUCAUGGUUAAGUGGGAAACGAUGUGGGAAGGCCCAGACAGCCAGGAUGUUGGCUUAGAAGCAGCCAUCAUUUAAAGAAAGCGUAAUAGCUCACUGGUCGAGUCGGCCUGCGCGGAAGAUGUAACGGGGCUAAACCAUGCACCGAAGCUGCGGCAGCGACGCUGAUGCGUUGUUGGGUAGGGGAGCGUUCUGUAAGCCUGCGAAGGUGUGCUGUGAGGCAUGCUGGAGGUAUCAGAAGUGCGAAUGCUGACAUAAGUAACGAUAAAGCGGGUGAAAAGCCCGCUCGCCGGAAGACCAAGGGUUCCUGUCCAACGUUAAUCGGGGCAGGGUGAGUCGACCCCUAAGGCGAGGCCGAAAGGCGUAGUCGAUGGGAAACAGGUUAAUAUUCCUGUACUUGGUGUUACUGCGAAGGGGGGACGGAGAAGGCUAUGUUGGCCGGGCGACGGUUGUCCCGGUUUAAGCGUGUAGGCUGGUUUUCCAGGCAAAUCCGGAAAAUCAAGGCUGAGGCGUGAUGACGAGGCACUACGGUGCUGAAGCAACAAAUGCCCUGCUUCCAGGAAAAGCCUCUAAGCAUCAGGUAACAUCAAAUCGUACCCCAAACCGACACAGGUGGUCAGGUAGAGAAUACCAAGGCGCUUGAGAGAACUCGGGUGAAGGAACUAGGCAAAAUGGUGCCGUAACUUCGGGAGAAGGCACGCUGAUAUGUAGGUGAAGCGACUUGCUCGUGGAGCUGAAAUCAGUCGAAGAUACCAGCUGGCUGCAACUGUUUAUUAAAAACACAGCACUGUGCAAACACGAAAGUGGACGUAUACGGUGUGACGCCUGCCCGGUGCCGGAAGGUUAAUUGAUGGGGUCAGCGCAAGCGAAGCUCUUGAUCGAAGCCCCGGUAAACGGCGGCCGUAACUAUAACGGUCCUAAGGUAGCGAAAUUCCUUGUCGGGUAAGUUCCGACCUGCACGAAUGGCGUAAUGAUGGCCAGGCUGUCUCCACCCGAGACUCAGUGAAAUUGAACUCGCUGUGAAGAUGCAGUGUACCCGCGGCAAGACGGAAAGACCCCGUGAACCUUUACUAUAGCUUGACACUGAACAUUGAGCCUUGAUGUGUAGGAUAGGUGGGAGGCUUUGAAGUGUGGACGCCAGUCUGCAUGGAGCCGACCUUGAAAUACCACCCUUUAAUGUUUGAUGUUCUAACGUUGACCCGUGAUCCGGGUUGCGGACAGUGUCUGGUGGGUAGUUUGACUGGGGCGGUCUCCUCCUAAAGAGUAACGGAGGAGCACGAAGGUUGGCUAAUCCUGGUCGGACAUCAGGAGGUUAGUGCAAUGGCAUAAGCCAGCUUGACUGCGAGCGUGACGGCGCGAGCAGGUGCGAAAGCAGGUCAUAGUGAUCCGGUGGUUCUGAAUGGAAGGGCCAUCGCUCAACGGAUAAAAGGUACUCCGGGGAUAACAGGCUGAUACCGCCCAAGAGUUCAUAUCGACGGCGGUGUUUGGCACCUCGAUGUCGGCUCAUCACAUCCUGGGGCUGAAGUAGGUCCCAAGGGUAUGGCUGUUCGCCAUUUAAAGUGGUACGCGAGCUGGGUUUAGAACGUCGUGAGACAGUUCGGUCCCUAUCUGCCGUGGGCGCUGGAGAAUUGAGGGGGGCUGCUCCUAGUACGAGAGGACCGGAGUGGACGCAUCACUGGUGUUCGGGUUGUCAUGCCAAUGGCACUGCCCGGUAGCUAAAUGCGGAAGAGAUAAGUGCUGAAAGCAUCUAAGCACGAAACUUGCCCCGAGAUGAGUUCUCCCUGACUCCUUGAGAGUCCUGAAGGAACGUUGAAGACGACGACGUUGAUAGGCCGGGUGUGUAAGCGCAGCGAUGCGUUGAGCUAACCGGUACUAAUGAACCGUGAGGCUUAACCUUACAACGCCGAAG